ACCAGGUUCCAGUCUUAUUUCCGCCUCUCAUUAGCAUGCUACGAUUAGUCACAUCUCUACACUUCCCUGGCAUCCGCUCCUCCAUGUGUACGAUGGCACAUUUGGCUUGGGUCAAAGGACAGACACGCAAGGAGCUGCCUGGGCAGGACAGGUCCUGGCAGCAAAAUGCUGUGCAGUAGAGAAGGACCGCUGCAGCUGGCCCAACUCGGGAUAAAAAAUAGCAAAUGUGAAAAGACACAGAAAGGAUACCCCUUCAUUGAGACAGAUGGUGAAAGAGCCAGAAUUGCAUUUGCGGGAGUGACUUCUGGGAGCAUGAAGCAAGCUGGCAGAGGAGAAAGGAAAACUCAGAUUAGUUACAAAAAUGCUUGCACACCAUGAUUGGUUUACCACCACGCAGGGAACAACAAUGGUGGUGAGGACUCAAGGACUUCCAAUAAAAGGCUGGUAUCUGGAA
Long non-coding RNA from Panthera uncia (snow leopard), 454 nucleotides. RefSeq lists it as uncharacterized. The record is from RefSeq and is a predicted model, not a curated record. The transcript is spliced from 4 exons. Lineage: Eukaryota; Metazoa; Chordata; Mammalia; Carnivora; Felidae.